CGAGAUAAAGCUUUAUAAAGCACCCCACUUACAAUGGGAAGAUACCAUUUUAGGUUGUUUCGA
This 63-nucleotide transfer RNA is filed under the name Baetis sp. PC-2010. RNAcentral describes it as "tRNA-Val". Lineage: Eukaryota; Metazoa; Arthropoda; Insecta; Ephemeroptera; Baetidae. The record is from RNAcentral.